Molecule: long non-coding RNA, 3185 nt
Filed under: Sus scrofa (pig)
Lineage: Eukaryota; Metazoa; Chordata; Mammalia; Artiodactyla; Suidae
Description: lncRNA (ENSSSCG00050063396.1)
Source: RNAcentral
CCUUUGCUGUGCAAAGCUUGUAAGUUUGAUUAAGUCCCAGUGGUUUAUUAUUUCUUCUCCUUUUUCUUCUUCUCCUUCUCCUUCUCCUCCUCCUCCUUCUUCUUUUUCCCCGCUUUUCAGUGCCGCACCCACAGCAUAUAGAAGUUCCCAGGCCAGGGGUCAAACCAGAGCUGAGCUGCAGCUGCCAGCCUACACCAGAGCCACAGCAACUCAGGAUACAAGCCAUAUCUGUGACCUACACCACAACUCAAGGCAAUGCCAGAUCUUUAACCCACUGAGCAAGGUCAGGGAUUGAACCCGCAUCCUCAUGAAACUGCUGAGCCAUGAAGGGAAGCCCCUUAUUUCUGUUUUUAUUUCUAUUGCCUUGGGAAACUGACCUAAGGAAACACUUCUAAGAAAAUGGUUCAUGUCAGAGAAUGUUUGCCUAUGUUCUCUUCUAGGAGUUUUAUGGUAUCUUGUCUUAUGCUUAAGUAUUUAAGCCAUUUUGAGUUUAUUUUUGUGAUGCAAUUUCUUGACCAAUAGGUUAUGGCAGAAGUGACAUCAGGCUGAUUCUGGGCCCAGGCCUUAAGGGACAGUGGUUUCCAUUUCCUGACCCUCAGAACACUCUCUCUGAAAGCCUGUAAGCCCAACUACCCUGAGAUGGCUUUGGUAAAGCAGCCAGAUGGCUGUCCCAGUAAAGUUCAGCCUGUGAGUGAUGAGGACUCCAGAGCACCAGCUGGGCACCACUUACAACAGAGAAUCACCUGGGUGGGCUCUCUCAGAAUUCUCUGACUCACAAAAUCAUAGGAUUUUUUUUUUUUUAAGGUUCUUUUGAGCCUUUAAGUUUUAGAAUAAUUUGUCAAACCAUAGGAAAUAACAGAACACAGUCCUGGGGGAGGCUCCACAUAUAUUAUUCAGCACUCAACUCAUGUACUUAAUAGUUAUCAUUUACCUGGCUAGAGCAGGUGAGAAGAGCUGACUCACUCCAGCUGGUUAUGGCCCAAUCAUCUUGUGUGCUGCUGAGCGAUGUAGAUCAGAGAACCAGACUAACCUCAGGACACAGAGAUUUCAAAUGGAAUUCUUGGGGGCACUUGGCACCCAGGAGGGUGGAGUCAUCAUAGAUUUUUUCUUCUGAUAAUUUUGAGUUAACCACUGAGUAGAAAUAACAUUUCUAAUAGAAUGGGAUUAGAUGGAAAUUAGACAGAAGACCCACACUAUCCAUUGCGAUGACAGAGUGAGAACCAUAAGUGAGCACAAUGAUAGAAGGCAGAUGCCUUCCUUUUUUUAUGAUAGGACCAGCAAAAUAAGGUGGUAAAAAUCAGGCUGGGGAUGGGAUGAAGAAUAGAAAUUUGAGCAGAGAAGAGGAUCUAAUCAUUCUAUGAGUACUUGGAAUUUCUGGUUCGAGCAACUGGAAAACAUCUUAUUAGUAUUUAAAAUUGUUUCUGGGAGUUCCCUUUGUGGCUCAGCAGUUAACAAACCCAACUAGGAUCCAGGAGGAUUCGGGUUCAAUCCCUGGCCUUGCUCAUUGGGUUAAGGAUCUAGUGUUGCCAUGAGCUAUGGUGUAGGUUGCAGACACAGCUCAGGUCCUGAGUUGCCAUGGCUGUGGCAUAGGCUGGCAGCUGUAACUCUGAUUUGACCCCUCGCCUGGGAACUUCCAUAUGCCACAAAUGCAGCCCUAAAAAAAAAAGCUAAAAAUAAAAAUAAAAAAUAAAAUUGUUUCUGGAGUUCCCAUUGUGGUCCAAUGGGUUAAGAACCUAACUAGUAUCCAUGAGGAUGUGGGUUCAAUCCCUGGCUUCACUCAGUGGGUUGAGGAUCCGGCGUUGCCGUGAGCUGUGGUGUAGGUCGCAGAUGCAGCUCAGAUCCAGCUUUGCUUUGGCUGUGGUGUAGGCCAGCAGAUGAAGCUCCGAUUCAACCCCUAGCCUGGGAACUUCCAUAUGCUGCAGGUGUGGCCCUUAAAAAAAAAAAGCAAAAUAUAAAAAUAAAAAUUUUCUGAAAGCAACUGAAGGGAACAACUCAAGAACAAAAUAAUGACAAGAUAAUGGCUUAAUAAGAAAACCCUCAGGCAGGGUAUUAAGAAACCUCCACUGCAGUCCCAACACCUUGCCAAUGAUUUGACUUAUUCUUAACUCUGUUUUCUUGCUGUAAAAUGAUACCUUAAUGGAAAUGAUGUGGGUUGGAGUGCAGGAGAGGAGAUUAAGAAGUGGCUUAGAAAGAAAAAGAACUAACGUAUGAUUAAGAAAUACCUACCAACCUUGAGAACUUUGGAAUAGAAUCAACCAACCUCUUUUUUAAAAAUUAAGAUAAACCACUCUUUUGCUCUUAUUUAAAUACUGAUUGUUAAGUUUAUAUAUAAAAUCAAAUGUAGGGAGUUCUCAUUGUGGCUUAGUGGUAACGAACCUGACUAGUAUCCAUGAGGACAUGCAUUCCAUCCCUGGCCUCAGUGGGUUAAGAGUCUGGUGUUGCUGUGAGCUGUAGUGCAGCUUGGAUCUGGUGUUGCUAUGGCUGUGGCCUGGGCCAGCAGUUACAGUUCCAAUUCAACCCCUAGCCUGGGAAUUUCCAUAUGCUUGGGUGUGGCCCUAAAAAACAAGAAUUAAAAUUAAAAAUUAAAAAAAAUUAACCAUGGUCAGAUAAUGAAAGGCAUUAACUGAACCAGCUAGACAUAUAAGUAGCAAUGUUGUCUAAGAAGAAUUCAACAUCGAGACUGUUUCUGUGGCAUCUCAGGGUAAGUGUGAUCCCCUCACAACGCAUAGGCCAUGGGAUGGAGCCGCUCUAGGUUUUAGGGACACAGAGGAGCCCUAGGAAGCGGAUGCAGUGGGCACUGGCGGAGAGCAGCUCUCCUGGGCUGAUUGUCAGCUGCUGUCACUGGGUGAAUAUUCUUAAGCACAUCCCCAAAAGGAGAAGCCAUUGAUUUUGCCUCAUAGGCAGCACUAGUUGGAGACAGCAGGGUCUCAGACUGUGCUCUGCAGCCUCCCCGGGUGCUUACUAAACAUGGCCAAGACUGAGAGCCGCCCAGAUCAAUGGAUCAAAAGCUCUGAGCCAGGGACCUGGGAAUCUGCAUUUAACAGGCACCCCGAGCUUUUCCCGUGCCUCCCACAGUGAAGGGCCCGCUGCCCUGCACUCCCUCGCACAUAACUGUCCCCAAAUAUGCCACACUCACCCCAGCCUAGGUUCCUUUGUUUGCUGUUUCUCCCUCUGGGAUCUCCCCC